This 274-nucleotide ribosomal RNA is filed under the name uncultured bacterium. RNAcentral's name for it is "partial 16S ribosomal RNA". It matches the Rfam family "Bacterial small subunit ribosomal RNA", at positions 523 to 796 of the family's 1533-position model. The record is from RNAcentral.
AUACGGAGGUGGCAAACGUUGCUCGGAAUCACUGGGCUUAAAGGGCGUGUAGGCGGUCAUCCAAGUCGGGUGUGAAAUCUCUCGGCUCAACCGAGAAACUGCAUUCGAAACUGAAUGACUAGAGUGCGGGAGGGGCAAGUGGAACUCCAGGUGUAGCGGUGAAAUGAGUAGAUAUCUGGAGGAACGCCAGUGGCGAAAGCGACUUGCUGGACCGCAACUGACGCUGAGGCGCGAAAGCCAGGGGAGCGAACGGGAUUAGAAACCCCAGUAGUCC